Molecule: long non-coding RNA, 445 nt
Filed under: Olea europaea (common olive)
Lineage: Eukaryota; Viridiplantae; Streptophyta; Magnoliopsida; Lamiales; Oleaceae
Description: long non-coding RNA (OEUR_LNC014018)
Source: RNAcentral
UCUUUCCGGUAUAUUGAUUGAGCGUGGUAUUGGCGAUUGAAGGAGUUUCAUGCUUGCUGAUAGCCUUUCAAAGUCGAUCGCGUCUUUGAAUCGCACGCAUUAUCCUUCGAAAAGGAAUGCUCCUACGUGUCCCCUCCAUAUCAAUUUGGCUUAGAUGGCCGGUUGGGUUGGUCCAACCAAGAAAGGCAUGGGAGUCUUUGGGCAUUGCUUGAGCUAAGUCAAGCUUUUUCCAAGUUAAGUAAAGACUGGCUACCUAGAAACUAAACAAGAAAGAUGAAAACUUCCGUCACUGCACAUUUUCUAUAUCUAAAUUUCUCAGGACGUCCAUAGCAGCUCCGCUUUCUUUUCUGAAACGGCUUUCUCGAUACGAAAGAAAAAGCCCGACUAUAUAUAGCAUUACAUUAGCUGCGGCUUUCAGUAUCUUACUAAUGCAGCAAGGGAGGGA